Molecule: non-coding RNA, 105 nt
Organism: Cinara cedri
Lineage: Eukaryota; Metazoa; Arthropoda; Insecta; Hemiptera; Aphididae
Source: the annotation of a GenBank genome assembly
ACGAGAUAUUCUACUUUUAAGUUUGGGUCGAGAAAGAAUAAUGGGCAUCAUUCCACUGCUCUCCUCAUAUCGAAACUUAAAAGUAGAAUAUCUCGUAAAGUGGUU